AGCAUAUCAAUAAGCGGAGGAAAAGAAACCAACAGGGAUUGCCCUAGUAACGGCGAGUGAAGCGGCAACAGCUCAAAUUUGAAAUCUGGCUUCGGCCCGAGUUGUAAUUUGUAGAGGAAACUUUUGGUGAGGCACCUUCUGAGUCCCUUGGAACAGGGCGCCAUAGAGGGUGAGAGCCCCGUAUAGUCGGAUGCCGAUCCAAUGUAAAGUUCCUUCGACGAGUCGAGUAGUUUGGGAAUGCUGCUCAAAAUGGGAGGUAAAUUUCUUCUAAAGCUAAAUAUAGGCCAGAGACCGAUAGCGCACAAGUAGAGUGAUCGAAAGAUGAAAAGCACUUUGAAAAGAGGGUUAAAUAGCACGUGAAAUUGUUGAAAGGGAAGCGUUUGUGACCAGACUUGCGCCGUUCCGAUCAUCCGGUGUUCUCACCGGUGCACUCGGGGCGGCUCAGGCCAGCAUCGGUUUUGGUGGGGGGAUAAAGGUCCAGGGAACGUAGCUCCUCCGGGAGUGUUAUAGCCCUGGGCGUAAUGCCCUCGCUGGGACCGAGGUUCGCGCAUCUGCAAGGAUGCUGGCGUAAUGGUCAUCAACGACCCGUCUUGAAACACGGACCAAGGAGUCAAGGUUUUGCGCGAGUGUUUGGGUGUAAAACCCGCACGCGUAAUGAAAGUGAACGUAGGUGAGAGCUUCGGCGCAUCAUCGACCGAUCCUGAUGUAUUCGGAUGGAUUUGAGUAAGAGCGUUAAGCCUUGGACCCGAAAGAUGGUGAACUAUGCUUGGAUAGGGUGAAGCCAGAGGAAACUCUGGUGGAGGCUCGCAGCGGUUCUGACGUGCAAAUCGAUCGUCAAAUCUGAGCAUGGGGGCGAAAGACUAAUCGAACCAUCUAGUAGCUGGUACCGCG
This 891-nucleotide ribosomal RNA is filed under the name Sordaria macrospora. RNAcentral's name for it is "LSU rRNA". It matches the Rfam family "Eukaryotic large subunit ribosomal RNA", at positions 37 to 961 of the family's 3401-position model. Lineage: Eukaryota; Fungi; Ascomycota; Sordariomycetes; Sordariales; Sordariaceae. RNAcentral also lists the same sequence under 1 other name. The record is from RNAcentral.